GACGAACGCUGGCGGCGUGCUUAACACAUGCAAGUCGAACGGAAAGGCCCUGCUUUUGUGGGGUGCUCGAGUGGCGAACGGGUGAGUAACACGUGAGUAACCUGCCCUUGACUUUGGGAUAACUUCAGGAAACUGGGGCUAAUACCGGAUAGGAGCUCCUGCUGCAUGGUGGGGGUUGGAAAGUUUCGGCGGUUGGGGAUGGACUCGCGGCUUAUCAGCUUGUUGGUGGGGUAGUGGCUUACCAAGGCUUUGACGGGUAGCCGGCCUGAGAGGGUGACCGGCCACAUUGGGACUGAGAUACGGCCCAGACUCCUACGGGAGGCAGCAGUGGGGAAUAUUGCACAAUGGGCGGAAGCCUGAUGCAGCAACGCCGCGUGCGGGAUGACGGCCUUCGGGUUGUAAACCGCUUUCGCCUGUGACGAAGCGUGAGUGACGGUAAUGGGUAAAGAAGCACCGGCUAACUACGUGCCAGCAGCCGCGGUGAUACGUAGGGUGCGAGCGUUGUCCGGAUUUAUUGGGCGUAAAGGGCUCGUAGGUGGUUGAUCGCGUCGGAAGUGUAAUCUUGGGGCUUAACCCUGAGCGUGCUUUCGAUACGGGUUGACUUGAGGAAGGUAGGGGAGAAUGGAAUUCCUGGUGGAGCGGUGGAAUGCGCAGAUAUCAGGAGGAACACCAGUGGCGAAGGCGGUUCUCUGGGCCUUUCCUGACGCUGAGGAGCGAAAGCGUGGGGAGCGAACAGGCUUAGAUACCCUGGUAGUCCACGCUGUAAACGGUGGGUACUAGGUGUGGGGUCCAUUCCACGGGUUCCGUGCCGUAGCUAACGCUUUAAGUACCCCGCCUGGGGAGUACGGCCGCAAGGCUAAAACUCAAAGGAAUUGACGGGGCCCCGCACAAGCGGCGGAGCAUGCGGAUUAAUUCGAUGCAACGCGUAGAACCUUACCUGGGUUUGACAUGGAUCGGGAGUGCUCAGAGAUGGGUGUGCCUCUUUUGGGGUCGGUUCACAGGUGGUGCAUGGCUGUCGUCAGCUCGUGUCGUGAGAUGUUGGGUUAAGUCCCGCAACGAGCGCAACCCUUGUUCACUGUUGCCAGCACGUUAUGGUGGGGACUCAGUGGAGACCGCCGGGGUCAACUCGGAGGAAGGUGGGGAUGACGUCAAGUCAUCAUGCCCCUUAUGUCCAGGGCUUCACGCAUGCUACAAUGGCUGGUACAGAGAGUGGCGAGCCUGUGAGGGUGAGCGAAUCUCGGAAAGCCGGUCUCAGUUCGGAUUGGGGUCAGCAACUCGACUUCAUGAAGUCGGAGUCGCUAGUAAUCGCAGAUCAGCAACGCUGCGGUGAAUACGUUCCCGGG
RNAcentral lists this ribosomal RNA (1343 nucleotides) under uncultured bacterium. Its description in RNAcentral is "16S ribosomal RNA". It matches the Rfam family "Bacterial small subunit ribosomal RNA", at positions 28 to 1378 of the family's 1533-position model. The record is from RNAcentral.